This 1450-nucleotide long non-coding RNA is filed under the name Macaca mulatta (Rhesus monkey). RNAcentral describes it as "lncRNA (ENSMMUG00000050878.1)". The record is from RNAcentral. Lineage: Eukaryota; Metazoa; Chordata; Mammalia; Primates; Cercopithecidae.
CUGUGUAUUUCAUUUAUUUAAGAUUCAAGAAAAUGCAAAAUAGUCUCUAUUGACAGAAAGUGGUUGCUUCGGUAUGAAGUUGGAAAGAGAGAUGGAUUACAAGGGCACAAGAAAACUUUUGGGAAUGACGGAAGAUUAUUUUUAUUGUAGUAAUGGUUUAAUGGGUAUACAUAUAUGUCAAAACUGAUCAAACCAAACUUACAGCUUUAUAUAUGUGCAGCGUAGAGGUCUUCAAUUACAAGUGAAUAAACAUUUUUUAAAAUGGUGAUAAAAAUAACAUCUUCAGCCUGUUGUAGGGAUUCAUUGAAUAUGUUAAGCACUUUAUCAUAAUACCUGGCUCCCUGAGUUUGAUGCCACUGACACUUAGAUAUCAAACUCAACCUCUCUACCAAGCUUUUCAUCCAAAGUGACUAGGGGUAAAGACUGUUUAAGACUAUACAGAAAGAUCAUGUAUCUGAGGAAUUAAAAAUAAGCCAUACGAUUAGGCAAUGUGUCACUCAAUAAACUCAAUAAACUAUUAUUAUCAAGGCAAAAUAUAUAUACACAAAAAGUAAGAACUGGGUUCAAAAAAAUUUUUUUCUAUGGACUUCUAACGUGGUAACUCAUGACACAGGGGUUAGGAUCUUCAGUUUUCCUUUGGAAGUUAAUAAAAACCACUAUAGAGAAAAACAAGAUUUACUACUAAGAAGGUGAAAACUGCUUCUCCUCUUAGGGUUCUAGUUCUCUUGCAACCUAAAACAAAGGAACUGGACAGGAUUACCACUUUUGUACUGUACAGCUCUAAACAUUAAUCAGUCACUCAAUUCAUUAUUUAUUUUUUUCUGUUUCCUUGUAUUCUGUCAUACAACUGUCUCUUGGUUUACCUACUUUUCUGCUUGUCUUCUCUCUCUCCUCCUGGUUUAUUUUCAUCCAGAUGGGAUUUUCCCCAAAGUUUCCAUCGUCAUUCUUUUCUUCUCCUCUGUGUAUGCGCCACUGAAGUUAAGAUUGCAACGUUCAAACUCCCCACACAUUCACACCCCCAUUCCCAUUUCACAGCAGAUGUUAUCUCAAUCUUACGGUUGAAUAAAUUUAAGAUCUCUGGCUGGACACUAGAGGCUGGCGAAGGACGUGACCUUUGAUCAGAAUCUCCCGGAGGAGUGGGGUCCCUGACCAUUGUCCCUUCCAGAGAACCUUAAAACAGACGCCAGGAGACCCUCUCGGAUACUCUGCAGGAGUCAAGAGUCACGAUAUUAGCAAGCACAUCGCAGCCAUGCGAACCCUUUCUGGUUCAGCUCUCGACAAAAGAAAUCAAGCCCCCAGUCAAAAUACAACAACAACGGAUUAAGCCUACCACCCUCUCCCCCGGCCCCCAAAUUCUCAGGGGAAAUCCCCUAAGAGUCAGGUAGGGAGGUCACUGCAGCGACUUCAGGUGCAGAGAACGCGGGGAACUAGGAAGAGGACGCUCCAGCCC